RNAcentral lists this ribosomal RNA (1550 nucleotides) under Klebsiella variicola. Its description in RNAcentral is "bacterial SSU rRNA". It matches the Rfam family "Bacterial small subunit ribosomal RNA". Lineage: Bacteria; Pseudomonadati; Pseudomonadota; Gammaproteobacteria; Enterobacterales; Enterobacteriaceae. The record is from RNAcentral.
AAAUUGAAGAGUUUGAUCAUGGCUCAGAUUGAACGCUGGCGGCAGGCCUAACACAUGCAAGUCGAGCGGUAGCACAGAGAGCUUGCUCUCGGGUGACGAGCGGCGGACGGGUGAGUAAUGUCUGGGAAACUGCCUGAUGGAGGGGGAUAACUACUGGAAACGGUAGCUAAUACCGCAUAACGUCGCAAGACCAAAGUGGGGGACCUUCGGGCCUCAUGCCAUCAGAUGUGCCCAGAUGGGAUUAGCUGGUAGGUGGGGUAACGGCUCACCUAGGCGACGAUCCCUAGCUGGUCUGAGAGGAUGACCAGCCACACUGGAACUGAGACACGGUCCAGACUCCUACGGGAGGCAGCAGUGGGGAAUAUUGCACAAUGGGCGCAAGCCUGAUGCAGCCAUGCCGCGUGUGUGAAGAAGGCCUUCGGGUUGUAAAGCACUUUCAGCGGGGAGGAAGGCGAUAAGGUUAAUAACCUUGUCGAUUGACGUUACCCGCAGAAGAAGCACCGGCUAACUCCGUGCCAGCAGCCGCGGUAAUACGGAGGGUGCAAGCGUUAAUCGGAAUUACUGGGCGUAAAGCGCACGCAGGCGGUCUGUCAAGUCGGAUGUGAAAUCCCCGGGCUCAACCUGGGAACUGCAUUCGAAACUGGCAGGCUAGAGUCUUGUAGAGGGGGGUAGAAUUCCAGGUGUAGCGGUGAAAUGCGUAGAGAUCUGGAGGAAUACCGGUGGCGAAGGCGGCCCCCUGGACAAAGACUGACGCUCAGGUGCGAAAGCGUGGGGAGCAAACAGGAUUAGAUACCCUGGUAGUCCACGCUGUAAACGAUGUCGAUUUGGAGGUUGUGCCCUUGAGGCGUGGCUUCCGGAGCUAACGCGUUAAAUCGACCGCCUGGGGAGUACGGCCGCAAGGUUAAAACUCAAAUGAAUUGACGGGGGCCCGCACAAGCGGUGGAGCAUGUGGUUUAAUUCGAUGCAACGCGAAGAACCUUACCUGGUCUUGACAUCCACAGAACUUAGCAGAGAUGCUUUGGUGCCUUCGGGAACUGUGAGACAGGUGCUGCAUGGCUGUCGUCAGCUCGUGUUGUGAAAUGUUGGGUUAAGUCCCGCAACGAGCGCAACCCUUAUCCUUUGUUGCCAGCGGUUAGGCCGGGAACUCAAAGGAGACUGCCAGUGAUAAACUGGAGGAAGGUGGGGAUGACGUCAAGUCAUCAUGGCCCUUACGACCAGGGCUACACACGUGCUACAAUGGCAUAUACAAAGAGAAGCGACCUCGCGAGAGCAAGCGGACCUCAUAAAGUAUGUCGUAGUCCGGAUUGGAGUCUGCAACUCGACUCCAUGAAGUCGGAAUCGCUAGUAAUCGUAGAUCAGAAUGCUACGGUGAAUACGUUCCCGGGCCUUGUACACACCGCCCGUCACACCAUGGGAGUGGGUUGCAAAAGAAGUAGGUAGCUUAACCUUCGGGAGGGCGCUUACCACUUUGUGAUUCAUGACUGGGGUGAAGUCGUAACAAGGUAACCGUAGGGGAACCUGCGGUUGGAUCACCUCCUUACCUUAAAGAA